This 373-nucleotide long non-coding RNA is filed under the name Citrus x clementina. RNAcentral's name for it is "Citrus clementina (C. clementina) long non-coding RNA (CCLE_LNC001417)". Lineage: Eukaryota; Viridiplantae; Streptophyta; Magnoliopsida; Sapindales; Rutaceae. The record is from RNAcentral.
GAGGGGACGACACACUAGACAAACGAGGUGCUCUGAUGCUGUCUGUAUAAUGCUCCAGCUCUUGAAAGGAUAAAUCAUGGAGGGGAUCGUUAAAGCCGACCGGAGACAUCGUAGGUUUCAUAGGUUUAUUGCUCUCGUCAUUUGGUUUUUUAAGAGAAUCAGCUAGCUAGAGGAAUAACUGAUUGACCAGAUCAAUAUGGGCCUCCAGGCGGCACAAACGGUCACCUGAUCUCUGAUUGGUCGCUAAUUGUUCCCAAAAAGAACAAGCAGGCAUGCCUGAGUCGAUAUUAUGUUUUGAAAGGAAAAACACAAUGAUGAAAAAUUUGUCAAAGGUCGAAGAAGACAGCCAGGUCGGUGCGAUGGUAAUAUGUUC